This 494-nucleotide ribosomal RNA is filed under the name uncultured bacterium. RNAcentral's name for it is "partial 16S ribosomal RNA". It matches the Rfam family "Bacterial small subunit ribosomal RNA", at positions 28 to 507 of the family's 1533-position model. The record is from RNAcentral.
GACGAACGCUGGCGGCGUGCUUAACACAUGCAAGUCGAACGGUGAAGCGCCUUCCUUUUUGGUGGGUGUGGAUGAGUGGCGAACGGGAGAGCAACACGUGAGUAACCUGGACCCUUCUUUAGGAUAACCGCAUGAAAGCGUGGCCAAUACGGGAUCUCCUGGGUCUGUGGCGUGAUGGGUCUGGGUAGGAUAUUGUUUAGGGGGUGGAUGGGCUCGCGGCCUAUCAGCUUGUGGGGGGGGUGAUGGCCUAUGAAGGCUGUGACGGGUAGCCGGCCUUGGAGGGUGGCCGGUCAGACUGGGAGUGAGGCACGGCCGAGACUGCUACGGGAGCCAGCAGUGGGGAAUAUUGUACAGUGGGGGCAAUCGUGAUGCAGCGGGGCCGCGUGAGCGAUGAAGGCGUGCGGGGUGUGAACGUCUUUCGCCAGUGAAGCAGGCCUGCCUCUUUUGUAGGGGGAUUGACGGUAGCUGGUUAAGAAGCGCCGGCUAACUACGUG